Molecule: long non-coding RNA, 208 nt
Filed under: Cicer arietinum (chickpea)
Lineage: Eukaryota; Viridiplantae; Streptophyta; Magnoliopsida; Fabales; Fabaceae
Description: long non-coding RNA (CARI_LNC001838)
Source: RNAcentral
AAAGCAGCAAAUCACCAUGGAAACAAUGAACACAUUGUCUUUUCUCUUGAAAACCUUAACAGUUGUCAUAUCCAUUUCAACCCCAACAUCACAAUCACCCAUUCAAAAUUUUCUCAAUUGUUUUUCUCAUUAUUCUCAAUCUUCGAAUUAUCCUAUUUCUAAAGUCCUUUACACAUCAUACAACCCUUCAUUCUAAACCAUCCUAUAC